This 259-nucleotide ribosomal RNA is filed under the name Olea europaea subsp. europaea. The record is from RNAcentral. Lineage: Eukaryota; Viridiplantae; Streptophyta; Magnoliopsida; Lamiales; Oleaceae.
AAUAGAAUUACUGAAAAUAUGCUACAGAAUACUCCUCCAGUUUUACAACCUGUCCCUGAAUCAACCAAACCAAGUGGAAAAUCAUCUACAGGAAAUGACUCCAACCCCAUCAAACGGUGGAAAAGAGUAAACAAAACGAAGGCACUCAGCUUUAUUACCUCUACUUCGCUAGCAAGUCUGAAGAGAUCUCUGGAUGUCUCACCAAAUGAAACUAUUCAAACCCCUAAAAAACUGAAAGGUAAAGGAAAAUCUACUGUAG